Molecule: transfer RNA, 93 nt
Filed under: Leucogyrophana mollusca
Lineage: Eukaryota; Fungi; Basidiomycota; Agaricomycetes; Boletales
Description: tRNA-Ser
Rfam family: tRNA
About the family: Transfer RNA (tRNA) molecules are approximately 80 nucleotides in length. Their secondary structure includes four short double-helical elements and three loops (D, anti-codon, and T loops).
Source: RNAcentral
GUCACUUUGCCGGAGUGGUUAACGGGAUCGCCUGCUAUUAAACAGCUUAGCGGUUGGGCUUUGCCCGCGAGUGUUCGAAUCGCUCAGGUGACG